ACGGGAGGCAGCAGUGGGGAAUAUUGCACAAUGGGGGAAACCCUGAUGCAGCGACGCCGCGUGAAGGAAGAAGUAUCUCGGUAUGUAAACUUCUAUCAGCAGGGAAGAUAAUGACGGUACCUGACUAAGAAGCCCCGGCUAACUACGUGCCAGCAGCCGCGGUAAUACGUAGGGGGCAAGCGUUAUCCGGAUUUACUGGGUGUAAAGGGAGCGUAGACGGCAUAGCAAGUCUGAAGUGAAAUGCAUGGGCUCAACCCAUGAACUGCUUUGGAAACUGUUAAGCUAGAGUGCAGGAGAGGUAAGUGGAAUUCCUAGUGUAGCGGUGAAAUGCGUAGAUAUUAGGAGGAACACCAGUGGCGAAGGCGGCUUACUGGACUGUAACUGACGUUGAGGCUCGAAAGCGUGGGGAGCAAACAGGAUUAGAUACCCUGGUA
RNAcentral lists this ribosomal RNA (434 nucleotides) under uncultured Lachnospiraceae bacterium. RNAcentral describes it as "partial 16S ribosomal RNA". It matches the Rfam family "Bacterial small subunit ribosomal RNA", at positions 341 to 792 of the family's 1533-position model. The record is from RNAcentral. Lineage: Bacteria; Bacillati; Bacillota; Clostridia; Lachnospirales; Lachnospiraceae.